AUUUAGAUAGUUUAUUAUUAGAAUAGUAAUUUGUGGUGUUACAGGUGUUGUUUAUUAACUCUAAAUU
Molecule: transfer RNA, 67 nt
Filed under: Parathyginus sp.
Lineage: Eukaryota; Metazoa; Arthropoda; Insecta; Hemiptera; Heterogastridae
Description: tRNA-His
Source: RNAcentral